This 28-nucleotide non-coding RNA is filed under the name Rattus norvegicus (Norway rat). The record is from RNAcentral. Lineage: Eukaryota; Metazoa; Chordata; Mammalia; Rodentia; Muridae.
UUGCUUUUACAAAUUCACUUGCAGUGCU